Molecule: ribosomal RNA, 586 nt
Filed under: uncultured bacterium
Lineage: Bacteria
Description: partial 16S ribosomal RNA
Rfam family: Bacterial small subunit ribosomal RNA
Source: RNAcentral
UGGGGAAUUUUGGACAAUGGGCGAAAGCCUGAUCCAGCAAUGCCGCGUGUGCGAAGAAGGCCUUCGGGUUGUAAAGCACUUUUGUCCGGAAAGAAAUCCUCUGGGUUAAUACCUCGGGGGGAUGACGGUACCGGAAGAAUAAGCACCGGCUAACUACGUGCCAGCAGCCGCGGUAAUACGUAGGGUGCAAGCGUUAAUCGGAAUUACUGGGCGUAAAGCGUGCGCAGGCGGUUUUGUAAGACGGAUGUGAAAUCCCCGGGCUUAACCUGGGAACUGCAUUCGUGACUGCAAGGCUAGAGUAUGGCAGAGGGGGGUAGAAUUCCACGUGUAGCAGUGAAAUGCGUAGAGAUGUGGAGGAAUACCGAUGGCGAAGGCAGCCCCCUGGGCCAAUACUGACGCUCAUGCACGAAAGCGUGGGGAGCAAACAGGAUUAGAUACCCUGGUAGUCCACGCCCUAAAACGAUGUCAACUAGUUGUUGGGGAUUCAUUUCCUUAGUAACGUAGCUAACGCGUGAAGUUGACCGCCUGGGGAGUACGGUCGCAAGAUUAAAACUCAAAUGAAUUGACGGGGUCAUAGCUGUUUCCU